GUGAAUGGCACGUGGUGUACAAUUUAGGCGAUAGGGAACGAUUCAGUAAAUAUGCUUUUGAUUGGGGCAAAUGGGGUCUGGUUUCAUGUUGUGUCACGCGAACUGCAGCAGUGCACACAGUUUGAUCCGGACUUUGGCUCUGGCCCAGAGACUUGAAUGCACAGAGCGGAUCAUAUGGCUAUAGGUCAGUAUGGUGGAAUUCAGAUAUGAAGAUCACAUGCAAAUUAGACCUGACCUGAGCGUACAGUGAUAAUCUGCCGCAUUCAAAUAUCAGGAGAUCUCACAACCUGCCUCCUUUGAAGCCUCUCUCUUCGUAUGAUCAAAGAACACAUAGCACUGCCUGAAUGUUUCGUGGUAGAUGAGGGUACAGGCACCUGCUUUAUGGCUCUCAACGGAAAUUACUGCCAUCCCUUCCUACACAACACAUCUCUGACUCUUCUAUUAUUGUAUGUUCUUGUCUCAUAAUAAGCCUUUCCCUGCCAAACAGCUCCUGUUUAGAGGAAAUGAACUAGAUUUUGCUUACAAGGUCAAAUCCAGUCAUUAUAUUUCUAACUGUACAAUAGCACAAAUCUCAUAUGAGACAAAUGUCUGGCAAUCUUCUCUCUUGCUCCUCUGUUACUGGUACGUUUCUUCUAAUUUGACCACUUUUUGCAUUGUUUGAAUGCAAUGGAAUCACUUGUGAUCUUUUGUGUACAUAUGACUGGUAUGCGAAUGUUUUUGCGUACUAGAAUUGUGUGUUAGCUGGUUAUGUAAUUUUAGUAGUGUUUGAAUUGUAAAAUUAUGCAUUUAUAAAGCACAAGUACACUGUAAUAUAUAUAAAUUUAAUAGUAAUUUUCCUUUUUGAUUUGUUUUAGGUUAAAAAAAAACAAUCUCAACAUACAGUUACUUAAGAAGCAACACUGCAUAAAAUAUUAAUACUUGUUUUUAUAAACUGUAUAUUGAAUGCUG
Cyprinus carpio carpio is the source of this 948-nucleotide long non-coding RNA. NCBI's taxonomy places the organism in Eukaryota, Metazoa, Chordata, Actinopteri, Cypriniformes, Cyprinidae. The record is from Ensembl.